AGUCGCCGCGGUAAGACAGAGGAUGCAAGCGUUAUCCGGAUUUAUUGGGUUUAAAGGGUCCGUAGGCGGACUUAUAAGUCAGUGGUGAAAGCCUGUCGCUUAACGAUAGAACUGCCAUUGAUACUGUAAGUCUUGAGUAUAUUUGAGGUAGCUGGAAUAAGUAGUGUAGCGGUGAAAUGCAUAGAUAUUACUUAGAACACCAAUUGCGAAGGCAGGUUACCAAGAUAUAACUGACGCUGAGGGACGAAAGCGUGGGUAGCGAACAGGAUUAGAUACCCCCGUAGUCCAUGUCUCUUAUACA
This 301-nucleotide ribosomal RNA is filed under the name uncultured bacterium. RNAcentral's name for it is "partial 16S ribosomal RNA". It matches the Rfam family "Bacterial small subunit ribosomal RNA", at positions 510 to 808 of the family's 1533-position model. The record is from RNAcentral.